GGUCUAAAUAUACAAUGUUUCUAUUUUGUUAAAAAAUGUAAUGGCCCCUUUAAGAAAUCUUCUCUCUCUCUCUCUCUCUCUCUCUCUUCUCGCGAUACUGUUUGCGCGAUUUGGAUGCGUGCGCGCGACCAGAGAAGCCAUUCUCACUGUACAUGAGAGCUCCAUGUGGUAGUGCAUGCAUUUCGUCUAAUCUAAUGUAGUUUCAUCAUCUUUUCGGUCAAUGCUUUUGGAUCGCGUGUCUGACGAGUGAACCUCGUGGCAAAUAGUAAAGGAUUAUUGGCCACUGCCGUAUUCCAGUCUAUAUUACCAUUUU
Molecule: long non-coding RNA, 313 nt
Organism: Megalobrama amblycephala (Wuchang bream)
Lineage: Eukaryota; Metazoa; Chordata; Actinopteri; Cypriniformes; Xenocyprididae
Exons: 3
Source: RefSeq, a predicted model, not a curated record